Molecule: long non-coding RNA, 290 nt
Organism: Marmota monax (woodchuck)
Lineage: Eukaryota; Metazoa; Chordata; Mammalia; Rodentia; Sciuridae
Exons: 3
Source: RefSeq, a predicted model, not a curated record
AUCCAGAAAAUAUUUGUCACCUUGUGCUCCCAGAAUCACAUCAAAACCAUGAUAUUAAAAGAAGACUUCAGCAGAGACCAGGUAACUUGGAGAAGUCUCUCCUGGAUACCUGCUCAGGCCAGUGAAGCCUAUGAUGGCUGAAUUCUUCUUGUUGUGAACCUGAAGACCUCCUAAAAUUUGAAAAGUGUAUCAAAACCAAUAAAUACCAUACCACUGGAGAAACUAAUUUCACCACUCUAUCUGUUCAAUUCUGGCUCCUGUGGAAAUCAGAGGGAUACUUCAGUUGGAGG